This 72-nucleotide transfer RNA is filed under the name Cucumis melo (muskmelon). It matches the Rfam family "tRNA". Rfam says of the family: Transfer RNA (tRNA) molecules are approximately 80 nucleotides in length. Lineage: Eukaryota; Viridiplantae; Streptophyta; Magnoliopsida; Cucurbitales; Cucurbitaceae. The record is from Rfam by way of RNAcentral.
UCCUCAGUAGCUCAGUGGUAGAGUGGUCGGCUGUUAAUUGACUUGUCGUGGGUUUAAAUCUUACUUGGGGAG